RNAcentral lists this transfer RNA (85 nucleotides) under Felis catus (domestic cat). It matches the Rfam family "tRNA". Rfam says of the family: Transfer RNA (tRNA) molecules are approximately 80 nucleotides in length. Their secondary structure includes four short double-helical elements and three loops (D, anti-codon, and T loops). Further hydrogen bonds mediate the characteristic L-shaped molecular structure. tRNAs have two regions of fundamental functional importance: the anti-codon, which is responsible for specific mRNA codon recognition, and the 3' end, to which the tRNAs corresponding amino acid is attached (by aminoacyl-tRNA synthetases). tRNAs cope with the degeneracy of the genetic code in two manners: having more than one tRNA (with a specific anti-codon) for a particular amino acid; and 'wobble' base-pairing, i.e. permitting non-standard base-pairing at the 3rd anti-codon position. Lineage: Eukaryota; Metazoa; Chordata; Mammalia; Carnivora; Felidae. The record is from Rfam by way of RNAcentral.
GCCUGGGUGGCUUAGUCGGUGAAGCAUCUGACUUCAGCUCAGGUCAUGAUCUCAUGGUUCGUGGGUUUCAGCCCCAUGUCUGGCU